GGCACCUGCACAGGUGCUGCAUGGCUGUCGUCAGCUCGUGUCGUGAGAUGUUGGGUUAAGUCCCGCAACGAGCGCAACCCUUGUCUUCAGUUACCAUCAUUCAGUUGGGGACUCUGGAGAGACUGCCGGUGACAAACCGGAGGAAGGUGGGGAUGACGUCAAAUCAUCAUGCCCCUUAUGACCUGGGCUACACACGUACUACAAUGGCGUAUACAACGGGAAGCGAAAUGGUGACAUGGAGCAAAUCUCACAAAGUACGUCUCAGUUCGGAUUGAAGUCUGCAACUCGACUUCAUGAAGUCGGAAUCGCUAGUAAUCGCGGAUCAGCAUGCCGCGGUGAAUACGUUCUCGGGCCUU
This 356-nucleotide ribosomal RNA is filed under the name uncultured Erysipelothrix sp. RNAcentral describes it as "bacterial SSU rRNA". It matches the Rfam family "Bacterial small subunit ribosomal RNA", at positions 1025 to 1382 of the family's 1533-position model. Lineage: Bacteria; Bacillati; Bacillota; Erysipelotrichia; Erysipelotrichales; Erysipelotrichaceae. The record is from RNAcentral.